Molecule: ribosomal RNA, 253 nt
Filed under: uncultured bacterium
Lineage: Bacteria
Description: partial 16S ribosomal RNA
Rfam family: Bacterial small subunit ribosomal RNA
Source: RNAcentral
UACGAAGGGGGCUAGCGUUGUUCGGAAUUACUGGGCGUAAAGCGCACGUAGGCGGAUUGUUAAGUUAGAGGUGAAAGCCCAGGGCUCAACCCUGGAAAUGCCUUUGAUACUGGCAGUCUUGAGAUCGGUAGAGGUGAGUGGAAUUCCUAGUGUAGAGGUGAAAUUCGUAGAUAUUAGGAAGAACACCAGUGGCGAAGGCGGCUCACUGGACCGAUUCUGACGCUGAGGUGCGAAAGCGUGGGGAGCAAACAGG